CUAAUAUCUUAGAUUAAGAGAGUAGUCUAGCAAUAUUUUCAAGCGAGAUAGGAUUAGGUGCAAGCCUAUCAAAUAGCGUUAGAUGAACCGCACUUAUGAGAUGGAAGUUAUUCCCGCCAACGAGCGUUAACGAUAUGAGGGAACUGGCCCAGCCAGUUAACUAGAGUGGUACCGCGAUUAUACGUCUCUUUG
Molecule: non-coding RNA, 192 nt
Filed under: Aerococcus urinaehominis
Lineage: Bacteria; Bacillati; Bacillota; Bacilli; Lactobacillales; Aerococcaceae
Description: T-box sequence
Rfam family: T-box leader
About the family: Uncharged tRNA acts as the effector for transcription antitermination of genes in the T-box leader family. T-boxes are found upstream of many aminoacyl-tRNA synthetase genes and some amino acid biosynthetic genes usually in Gram-positive bacteria. The anticodon of a specific tRNA base pairs to a specifier sequence within the T-box motif, and the NCCA acceptor tail of the tRNA base pairs to a conserved bulge in the T-box antiterminator hairpin.
Source: RNAcentral